This 852-nucleotide ribosomal RNA is filed under the name Triticum aestivum (bread wheat). Its description in RNAcentral is "partial small subunit ribosomal RNA". Lineage: Eukaryota; Viridiplantae; Streptophyta; Magnoliopsida; Poales; Poaceae. The record is from RNAcentral.
AUGGCAGCAAAGAAACAUCUCUUUCGCUUUGGGUCUUUCGCGAUAAAGGACGGGUCAGAGAUUCGUUUCUGGGAAGACAUCUGGCUUGGCAAUGCUAGUCUCGGAGAACAAUAUCCAGCCUUGUACAACAUUGCUCGCGACAAGAAUAAUACUAUUGCGCAGGUGCUCAAUUCAUCCCCGCCAAAUAUUUCGUUCAGGCGGUAUUUGAUUGGCCCCCGACUUGUGUCAUGGCAUAAUCUUUUAUCCCGGCUGGAUACGAUUAACCUGACACAAGGUCGAGAUGUGUUUCGCUGGAACCUUACUACAUCAGGGUCUUUCACUGUAGACUCUAUGUACCAUGCUCUCACACAUUCGGAGGUACCGGUGAGUAAUAACAAGAAAAUUUGGAAGUCCAAGAUUCCACUAAAAGUGAAAAUCUUCAUGUGGUAUCUUUGUAGAGUUGUGUUAACCACAGACAACCUCGUUCGACGCAACUGGCACGGGAGUAAGAAGUGUUGUUUUUGUACUCAUGACGAGACAAUCAAACACGUCCUUUUCCAAUGUAAGUUUGAACGUUCUACGUGGUCAGUCAUCCAAAUAGCGUCAAAUUUGUAUUCGCCCACAAGUGUUGCCAAUAUUUUUGGUCAUUGGUUAGACGGUAUUCCAAAUAGGUUCAAGACGCUAAUAAGGGUGGGAGCGUAUGCCUUAGUUUGGUCGCUUUGGCUAUGUAGAAAUUAUUUGGUUUUUAAUGACAAAAGUGCUUCUCCUCUGCAAGUUAUUUUCCGGUGUACGCACUCGCUUCGUACAUGGUCUAUACUACAACGAGCAGAGUAUCAACCGUUGUUCAAGGUGGUGUGUACGCGAUUGGAGUAG